AGCGAUCUUCCUCCUUGAUCAAUUGUCAUAGACCCGGCACUCAUCCGUCUCUGGAUUGUCCUUGCAAAACGCCUCCAGCGGAUCCUUGCCCUUGUCCUUGUCCCUCUGGUGAGACGCGGCGGCGCUCACCUCCUCCACCUCGUCCCACGCCACCACGCACUCGGCCGACGCUGGAUUCUCCGCGCACACCUCCUCCGCCUGCUUGAUGCUCUCCUCCACCUUACCCUCCAGCGGGCUCGCGCACGCGAUCGUCGUCGCCAUCCUCCUCCUCCGCGACACCAAUCGAAUCCCCCCCAUUCCCCCUCGCGCCGCCGCGCAGGAGCUCCUCCUGGGAAUCGCGGAGAUCUGCUGCUGCUGCUGCAAGAAUUGGGGCUGCUGGAGCGCCAUCGUUGUAAUCGCGAUGGACGCCAUGAGCGCACGAGCUAUCGAUCGAUGCGAGGAUCUCUGUCCCAAGAGCCCUAGCUCCAGGGCAAACGAUCACCACGCAAGGAGGAAGAGAUAUCACUGCCACGUGGAGUCCGCUGAUUGAUCGACAGCACGGCAGGUCUAUGGCUUCCAAAGCUGCAGGAAGUAGACCAUGGAGAGAGAAGGGGAAAAUAUAGACCGGGUGCUCUAGGAAAAAAUCCAACCCAUGGUUCCCACAUUUCACUUUGCGAGAUUUUUUCUUUGUUUUGCCUUGCCUAUCAAUCGCAUUCUCGGGCUCGCUUGCUCAGGCGUUUUUUUUUUUCUCGAGAAUUAUUCAGGAGUAGCUCUAUGAUUGAUCUGGAACGAGGAAAACUUCGAUCUUCUCAAGCGUAAUAACAAGGAGCUUACUUGUCGUGAUCACGAGCGCGAGCCAGGCGACGAGAACUUUGCGUUGUUUCCCCUCUUGUCAUGACCCAGGCGCUACUUCUUCCUCGUUUCUCUGGAUGGCAGCAAUCUUAGCUCUGGACGAGUCCCCUUGGCCAUCAUCUGGAAAGAAAACCAAUGAAGUUAGUCACUACUGCUUGAUCGAAGAGAAAGAGAAAUCCUGGAAACCAAAGCUAGAAGUUGGAAACCAAAGUGAGUGUACUACUACCUGCGACAAUCCUGCUUCUCUUGCGUGACAUCCGCUUGACAAGCCCCUCGUAGAGCUCGACGAGGAGCUUGGGAUCCUUCUCCGCGUACAUGCUGUAGUCCCCGAACGUCGGCAACACUUGCAUGUCCAUGGAGGCCGUCCGGAGCACCGCGUCCUUGACAGUCUCCGAGUCAUACUUUCGAGCCAGGUCCAAGAGGUUGAUGGCGUUGUCCCGGGAGACGUUGCUGACUAGAAACUCCUCGCACACGGCCUUGAGGAGCUUGACGCCAUAUUUCUCUGCAGCACAGAAGAGAGACGCGGCAUGUUUCUUGAGCACUUCGGGACACACUGUGGCGGUGUAGAAGAAGCGCACAAACGCUUCCAACACAUCGUGCGAGAAGUCGUCGAUUCGGACGACACCGCUUUGGGCUUCCUUCAUUUGAGCACUAAACAUGGCCUUAAACACAGGUGACUUCCCCGCCUGCGCUAGAAACAGGCAGACAAACAAAAACCACAGGGGCGCUCACAUGUGAAAAAACAUGUGGGAUUGAGAGCUUUUUGUUUGGCAAGGCUGCACUGCUGAGCAUCUCUCUCACUCAAAAGCUUUAGAACAAAGCUUUCAAGGAACACACACACACACAAAAAAAAAAAAAAGAACUCGAAGCAAAAAACGUAGAAAACCUCUCAUCCCGUUCUCUCUCACGCAAAAGGUUUAGAACAAAGCUUUCAGGGAAGGCAAAAGCAAACAACAAACAACCAACACAAGAAAAUGGAGACAAAAGCAAGAAGAAAAAAUUCUCAUCUCGUUCUAGUCCCAAUUCUAACAAAGAAAAAGAGAAAAGUCCUUGCAAGCUAAUCCACCCAGAAAAAUGGUUUUUCCCGACUUCUAAAGGAAACAAAAACACAAAGAGCCGCAAAAAUUCAUUCCAGGAAGAUCACGAAGAACAAUCAAGCACGCAUUACUAUCAAAAGCCCAAGGAAACCAAAGGAAAGAAAUAAACUAGAUGCUAAGCUAGGGCUUGAGAGAAAGAUCGCUUACCAGGAUCGCCUUGUGCGCGCACACAUCCGGCCCAUCACACGCCUUGAGCGUCACAUCCGACAGCGGCAAAUCGAGGGUGUCCUGGUCCCAGGCGCGAAGGAAUUCGGCCUGGCGCGCCACGGCUUGCAGGCGCCGCUCCUCGUCCCGGAGGCGCUGCUGCGCGGCUUGCAAGCUCCCCACCAGCGACUCCAGCCUGUGGAUCCGGCCCCUGUGGCAUCGAUCACAAUACGCGAACUCCACCGCGUAGGAGCGAAACUCGUACCCUGAGAGGAGCCUCUUGCAAAGCACGCAUUCCACGCGAGGCAUAUUCCUCCUCUCUCCGUGUGCCCUAGAGGGAAUUUUUUCUAAAAGAUUUUUGGCGCCAAGGGCGUUUCGCGCGGGAACGGUUCGCCACGUGGCGUGUUUGAAAACGUUAGAAUUUAGGUUAGGACUAGAUAAACAAAAGGGUACCAUUAAGAAAGAAAAAUUAGUCAAAUAAAAUUGAAAAUAAAAUCGAAAAGGUGCCAAAAAGGAAUACAUAAACCCUAUGUUAAAAGGUAAAUCACUAUAUAAAUCUAGGUAUCAAAGCGAUCACAACACAACAAAGGAUCAAUGAGGAAGCUUGUGGUAGUUGCUUUCUUGGCUAUAUUCUUUGCAGGAGCUACUUCUUCGCGAUUGUUAGCGUCUACUCCACCACGAUCUCCAUCGCCAGGAUCUCUAGCAGUGGAGAAAUCGAUCUCUAUAGCUGUUUCUUACACAGGAAAGGAUACCUUCGCCGAUGGAACCCUUUUGACGUGCCCGCAAACCGCGAUUCAUCCCAACGUUAUGGUCCCCGGAGAUGUUGAUCCUGCACAGCUUUACUCCAUCGUGAUGAUAGAUAGGCGAGCUUCGCGGUCGAUGUUUACAUUGGCAGAUCAAUUCACGUACGUCCACUAUUGGAUCGCCAACAUCCCUGGAUCAAAGGUUGACGCUGGCACCAUUUUGGAGGAGUAUAUGAGGCCUGCACCCCACGAUUUCAUGCAGCACAAGUACGAGUUUAUACUGUAUAAGCAGCAAGGGCAGAUCAAUACGCCUCUCGCGGAUAGAUUCGUCAAGGACUGGGAAGCGGUCGCAAGCGCUUACAACCUUGGCAGCCCAGUAGCAACGACUUCCUUUGUCGCGCAGCUCACCCUAAACUUUAGAACGAGAAUGUUCCAGUGUUAAACAGGUGGCUUCUUUGAAUCAUUGCGUGUUGUUCGAAACUAGAGAAAAGAGAUUCAACUAUUGUUAGAACAAGAUCGUCCCAAUGUUAUAAAGGUGGCGAGAUUAUAGGUUUGAAUUAAGAGAGAACGAAAAUAGAGAAAAGAGAUACGAUUACAGUUUAGAGUGGUGUAUGGUGUUGUUUCUCAAGAACACUGUCCCGGAUAGGACGACUUUGCCUCUCUCUUUAACUUUGCACUUGAAGGAGAUCCUGAAAGAAGACGCAAGCGUUACGGGGAUGGUCUAGAAACGAUUGCGGGCGCUUACUGCGAGCUCUCGCCUUGUUCUUUCUUCAUCAAUGUUACGAGCGUUUCGCCCGGAUAGACGUGGUGCAGGAACCUGGAGCU
This 3640-nucleotide long non-coding RNA is filed under the name Selaginella moellendorffii. RNAcentral describes it as "long non-coding RNA (SMOE_LNC001867)". Lineage: Eukaryota; Viridiplantae; Streptophyta; Lycopodiopsida; Selaginellales; Selaginellaceae. The record is from RNAcentral.